CCAAGAUUUUGGUAAAUGAUCAAGGAUUGCCCUUUUCCAUUAUAUUAAUGGAGGUGGUGCUGGGUCUGGGAUGGUGGUUGGGUGCAGAAGGGAGUUUAUGGUAAGGGAUUGACCUGUAGGAGAGGGUGUGGGGUCUGGGAGUGAGCUUGGGUGAAAGGCAAUUGUGACCUGGGUCAGGGGACUAGGGUGCAGGUGGUUGGGUUGUGCCCUGAGGCAGGGUUUUUAGGUCCAGGAUCUAAGAGAGGAUAUGAGUGCAGGGGUUUGCAUUAUGUGGGUGGAGGUGGGGGUGUAAGGUUGGCGUGCCAGAGGCAGGCUUUGGCCAGGAGACUGUUGAUUCCCAGCCAGCAGCCUUUUCAGGCAGAUUCACUGGCUGCAGGGCCAUGUGGUUUUUGAACAGGUACAAGCCUGAGAGGAGGGUGCUUUGCAAGCUGCCUGUUGACAUUGGCCAGAAACCGGCUAAUGGGACUGCUCUGGGCGUGGGAGCAGCACAUGAAGCCUCUUUUCCCCUCGCUUAGGGCUCUUAGCUGUUCUUACUGCAGCAGCUGCUUUUCUCAGUGGCGUAUGGGGGGCAGGCUGCCUCCCUGAGGCUCCCUGCUGCAUCCACAGGCCAGAUCUGGUCUGUGGGGUAUAUUUGCCUAGGCCUGGUCUACAGCAUGGUGGCUUUUAAAGCACAGAGAAUUUCUUGCCAGGUCCAUUGCCUAAAUAAAGAAACCAUUUCCACCUCCAUCCUGAAUUGUAUUGGGACUAAGGUGCAACAAACCCAUUUCUGGUGCUGCAGCUCAUUUGAGGCAUGUGUGUGGCAGUUCUGACUAGUGGAAGCACAGUGGGAUUUUCAAAAGUGCCUGAAUGACGUAGGGACACAAAUGCUGCCCCUACGUUGCCUGUGAGUCAAGUGCCCUCAACUUCAUCUCUAGUGCUCUGUGGUAUAAAGAUAGCAAAACUCUUCUGAUUGGAAACCAGCUGGUUAUUCUACUCCUGGGUAACUAUUAAUUCAGAUGUAGCUACAAAUCCAGAACUCUAGUUACAAGCAUGGGAAUUUAAACUUACAAAUUAGGGCUAAUAAAGUACAAGACUGUGGACUUCCAGUUGACCAGGUGACUUGACUGGGAGCAGGAGCAGGAUGCCAUCACUUCACUUUGGCUCUGCCAGCGUGUAGUCUUCUAUCUUGUAGUAUGUGGCUUUGCCUAAAUAUAUGAAUAAAAAUCUAACUUUCACGAAG
This is a long non-coding RNA of Pelodiscus sinensis (Chinese soft-shelled turtle), 1219 nucleotides long. RefSeq lists it as uncharacterized. The record is from RefSeq and is a predicted model, not a curated record. NCBI's taxonomy places the organism in Eukaryota, Metazoa, Chordata, Testudines, Trionychidae.